AUAAAUGAGAGACACCUGUGAGCUGAGCUGCUGCUAACAAAGGAAGCAUGAAGAACAAUAGAGAGAAGUGGCAAAAAAGACAACCAGUAGACUUUUACAAGAACUGUACAGCUUCUGGUCAACUUUGAUCCAGAACUAGCUUGUUUAGUGAACAUUUGCUGGUCCAUGUGGAACUGAAGGAUAUCAGCUGAUCUCAGGAGCAGGACUGGAUAUGCAUCAUACAUCAGACAGCUGCCUGGAGGUGGAGUCUCUGAACUUUUUGAUCGCACCUUGAAGUACAGCAGUCAUCUCAGCUCUUUCCAAGUACAUUCAGUCAUUUAGUAGAGUCUGUCAAGUGUAAAGGUGUUCAGUGAAGACCUGGGUUUUUAGUCUUUUCUUAAAGACAGAAAGAAACUCUGCAGAUCGAACAGAGUUUGGUAACUCCUUCCACCACCGGGGAACCACAGAGGAGAAGAGUCUAGCUAUGGACCGGCCCUGUUGUGGUGGUUGUAUCUGAUGCCCUUUGUUGGCCAAGCGAGCAAAGCAACUCCUACAGAUUAGCUUGAAACUUGUUGAUUGAACCUUGUGAAAAAAUUCUAAACAAGCAACAAAAAAUUACCCAAUAUGCCAUUUGUUUAAUGUGUGAAUGUCAGCCCUGGAAGACACGACAUGUUGUCUACAUUAUCUGUAGGGGGAAAAAUAGGCCAACAAUCCGGAACAAGCACUACUCUGACAGUAUUGAUCAUGUUGGGGUUGAGGGUGGGUGUUUGCAGGUGAUGGUGAGGUUGGCAGCCAUUCUGAUGGGCUCAUGUUUCCCUGCCUGCGAUCUCGGAUGAAGAUUCAUGGUGGCCACGACUGCUCCGUGUCCGCCGCGAAUCCAGGAAGGAUAUUUAUGUUGACAGUGCUCCUUCUCCCACCAAGCCCGGGAGGAGGAUCACACAACCUGUCACUCAGAUUGAUGUCUCCCCUGACGGUACAAGUUAAAAGCAAAGGAGGAGAAGGUAAUGAAGAGAGGCUAGAAGAUGGAGAAUGCUUCCAGGGUUCGAGACGGAUGAAGAUGAUCUCUCGCUGCUGCAUCAUCGGUAUGCAAUUCAUCGCAUUGACGUUCACACAUGCACAAAAACCAUACUGUACGUACUGGGAGUUGUACCCAGAGCACCGUUGUGUGGAACAAAGCUGCCGUAUUUCACACAGGAUUUGUUGAAUAUGUCUUUGAUGUGUUCGCCUGUUCACGAGAGGAGAAAAAAGUGGGUAUUAGGAGGAGCUUGAUACAGUAUGGAUCAAAUAAAAUGAAAAUCAAAAGGCA
Long non-coding RNA from Amphiprion ocellaris (clown anemonefish), 1285 nucleotides. The record is from Ensembl. Lineage: Eukaryota; Metazoa; Chordata; Actinopteri; Pomacentridae.